AAAUCUUGACAUCCUCUGACAGCCCUAGAGAUAGGGUUUCCCUUCGGGGCAGAGUGACAGGUGGUGCAUGGUUGUCGUCAGCUCGUGUCGUGAGAUGUUGGGUUAAGUCCCGCAACGAGCGCAACCCUUAAGUUUAGUUGCCAUCAUUAAGUUGGGCACUCUAGACUGACUGCCGGUGACAAACCGGAGGAAGGUGGGGACGACGUCAAAUCAUCAUGCCCCUUAUGAUUUGGGCUACACACGUGCUACAAUGGACAGGUUACAAAGGGCAGCGACGCCGCGAGGCCAAGCGAAUCCCAUAAAACUGUUCUCAGUUCGGAUUGGAGUCUGCAACUCGACUCCAUGAAGCUGGAAUCGCUAGUAAUCGUAGAUCAGCAUGCUACGGUGAAUACGUUCCCGGGUC
Molecule: ribosomal RNA, 403 nt
Filed under: uncultured bacterium
Lineage: Bacteria
Description: bacterial SSU rRNA
Rfam family: Bacterial small subunit ribosomal RNA
Source: RNAcentral